AUUCAACCCUAUGCGAUGACCAAUGACUUGAUCAUCUAAAAGGAUCUCUAGGAUCAAGUAUCAGAAACUACUUAAAGAGUUCAUCUUCGGGAUUACUUCCAAUUCACAUUAGCAAGCUAACACAUAUAAAUCUUCCACAGCCUCGAAGUUCCAUCCAACUCUAUAUAUUGCUAGAAUAACCAAAACAUGACUCCUAACAUAACAAAGAUCCUGAUCAAAGGAGCGAAAGAUGAAGGUACAUAUGAAACAAAGAGAACAGAGAUGUUGGGAACAUCUUUACAUGGGUGUGUGUAUAUAUUUAAAUAUAUAUAUAAACUAGUACUAAGAGCAGUGUGGUGCCAAGCCACCAGGAUACCUCAAUGCAUGGGAACACGAGGAGCACG
RNAcentral lists this unclassified non-coding RNA (383 nucleotides) under Hevea brasiliensis (rubber tree). Lineage: Eukaryota; Viridiplantae; Streptophyta; Magnoliopsida; Malpighiales; Euphorbiaceae. The record is from RNAcentral.